GUCGCAUAUGUAACUAUUUUUGAAAUGUAAAGUAUGUAACUGAGAUUUAGUCUGAAUAGAUCGAUGUGCAUGUUUACAGUACAGAUAAAACAUGCCAUUAAUAUACUUUCAAUGACAUGCAUCAGAAGCCUUAUUUACUGUAACUUUCACGAAAAACAUGUGAUGUGCAUGGUGCAAAUUAACUUUUUCUUAUAAUAUUGAUCUUUGCUUUUAAUUCAUAUGUAUUCUUCUCAACAACUUUUUCUUCGGCUUUUUCUCAACACUUAUUCUUCUCAGUGACUUUUUCUUCGGCUUUUUCUCAACACUAACAUCUGCACUUGGGUUUACCCCAGCCAUACAUCCCUUAAAUUCUACUUAACAUGAAUACAUGUCAAAAAUUGAUUGAAAUAAAACUAAACUAACAACCCACUAGACAAACUCAAUAAAUUUUUCUCAAGGGGCUAAAAACAUCUAAUAGGCAAUAUUUCCUAAAAGCAUAAAUUGCAGUCGAAAACUUAAUUUUUUAACGAUUUCCUAUUUACUGCGGAUGAUCGGUUCAAUAUUUGCCGAUCUCAAGUGGCAUUUAAGAUAAUUCACUAUACAUGGUCGUUGACAAGCAACUGGAAAUCUAUAGACAGCCUGUUUUUUAAAGAAAAUGGCAGGUAUUGAGAAAUACUACUAUACAUAAUUGCCUGAUAAAACAUUGAUUGUCCUUCGUACAUGAGUGAAUUCAUGAAUAUAAAACAUAGCUUUUUUAACAGGGGACUUAUAGAUUGAGAGAAUUUAAAUACUGUUCAGCAUGGGUGCAUUGAUUGACAUACAAGUUUUCAUGUAAUCUAAAUUUCACUUGAGGUCUAAUACAAUUAAAUUCUACUAAAAGAAGUCCUGCAUUGAUUUCUGUUUUUUUAAAGGUAAAAACUUCUGUUGGCAGUACAUUUAAAAUAUUUAUAUAACCAUUGGAAAUUAUUGAAGUGUUUGUUAAUUAAGAAAAAUGUCUUGUCAUAUUAAAAUUAAAUAAUAUUUUUAUUAAAUCAGUUGUCACAUAGUUUGAAAUGAAAUAGACAUGAAUACGGCAAUUCAAUUUUUAUUUCAACACAUGACCACAAGAACAUUUGGAGUAUGAUUAUUCUUCUCAGACUUAAAAAUAAAUCAA
Molecule: long non-coding RNA, 1132 nt
Filed under: Mytilus galloprovincialis (Mediterranean mussel)
Lineage: Eukaryota; Metazoa; Mollusca; Bivalvia; Mytilida; Mytilidae
Source: RNAcentral